AGCGUAUAUAUAUAUUCUGUUAUUAAAGAUAAUAGAAACACAUUUUUUCUAGUGUAUGUACAUUUCCUAUUAUUAAAGAUAACAGGAAUUCAUUCAUUUCCUUUGGGAGUGGGGCUGGACUCGAUGAUCUUCCGAGGUCCCUUCCAGCCCUAAUGUCUGUGAAAUCUAUGAAAUUUCAACAUUCUUUGGAUCAGGCCCUUAAUACUUUAUGUAAACUCAUAUUUUUGGUGACUUAAGUACAUAUAGCAGGAUGAAAUUCUACAAAAUUUAAAACUAACAAAUUUUGAGAAAAAUUUCACAACUCCCGUUUACAAAGCAAAACAUUGCCUCCACUGAAAAUGCGUGCCUAUGCAACUCAAUUAGCAAACGUCUGUACAAAUUAAAUACAAGCAAUGCAAAAUAGGGCUGAAACAAAUUAAGUAUUGAGGUAGUACGCACAGAAUAUAGGUGCCAUUAUUUUCUGUGUUUGAAAUGAAAACCUAAUUGAUCCUUAGAGCAAAGCCACCUGGGAGUUGCUACAGUUAACACAAAGGGACUCGAGCAGCAGCUAUAUUUUAUUUCUUUUUUUACGACAUGUUAUUCUUUAGACACCUCCAAAAAAAUUGAUUUUCUUUUACAGAAGUACUAAAACAAACGUGGAAUGAUAACGGUGUCAGAUAUGCAGGUAAUCCUGUUAUUUUUUAUUCCCUAGGAACUUGUAAGACACGUAUUUGUGGUGCCCAACUAUCAUUCGUGUUAACCAUACAUUUUUUAUUUUGUUUUAGGCAACAAGUUUAAUAACUUGCUUGGAAAUUAAUCACUCUAAGAAAAUCUGUAUAGUAGCUGUGAGGAUAAAACAAAAUCAUGAUUAAGGUCUGGAUGAAACAACUAACAUCAUGAAUUCCAGGUCAAAAUUGGCAUGGGGCAAUUUGGAAAAAGUUGUGAAAGAAACAUACAGGAAAAAAAACCGAACAUCAGGUACAUGGGUAACAUCAAGCAUUCAACAUCUGAGCAAUUCAAGCAAGGGUCAGGAACUGGCCUAUUCCAAAGCCUGCCCAAGGCCCUGAAGGAAACUAGCAAAACCCUUCAGGGAAUAAAAAUUGGACUUUGAUGAGUCUGGAUUUGGCUACACGGAAGGAAGAGCGGAUUUCUUCUUGAGCUGAAGAGGCUGAAAUUGUUGGGGUUGCACAUACGUGUUUGGUAGGAGAACUUAGGGUCCCUGGACAAGACAUAACCCAUUGCAAGGUUAGGUACCUUGGUCUUAGCUGGUUAUUUUAGCACUGCACUCUUCCAGUUAUCAACGUGCAUAUCUAAGUCUCCGCUUGAUUUCACAAAGAGUAUGAACACACAAAGGAAUAUAGAUUAUCAAGCUGGUAAUGACAGAUGACAUUUUUUCUUACAAACAUGAGCAGGGUCAAAAAUCAUUCUGGGCGCAACUUCUGACUUCAGUAGCUUUAUACAAGUAAAGAGCAGGACCUGUCUUGUCCAGAACUGCCCACAGAACAGCAGUUUUGUUUCACGGCAAAUUUUGAGGUUUCACAUUUGUAUAUGUUUUGUAUUGGAAUGAAACCCAACCUUGUAAAUGUUUUUACAAAAUGGACUUGUGUCAAAAUAGCCAUUUUUAGAUCAAAAAGGUUGUAUUUUUUAUUUGGGUCUCUCCAAUUAUAUACCUAGACUUCCAAAAGGCUUUUGAUCUAGUAUCCCACAAUAUCCUUGUGGGAAAACUGGAAAAUUGUGGGCUCAGCUGCUCAACAGUUCAGUGGGUGGGAAACUGGCUGCAUGGUAGGACCCAGAAAGUUCUCAUGAACUGAUCCGUGCUGUACUGGUGAGAAGUGGCCAGUGGUGUCCCUCCGGGGUCUGGGCUCGGACCGGUGCUUUUCAACCCCUUUAUCAAUGAUUUGGAUGGGGGAGUGAAAAGCUCCCUGGCCAAGUUCGUGGAUGACACCAGGUUAUGGGGCAGUGUGGUAAUGUCAGAAAAUAGGUUGCAGAUACAGACGGAUCUGGACAGGCUCUAGAGUUGGGCAGACCAGAACCAGAUGAAAUUUAACAUUUCCAAGUGUAAGGUGCUCCAUCUGGAGGCAAACAACCUUCAGUAUAUACAUACAGGCUCGGCGGUGACAGCUUGACUUGCACCACAGCUGAAAGGGACCUAGGGGUAAUGACUGACCAUCGCAUGAAUGUGAGCUGUCAGUGCAAGGCAGUGGUCAGCAGGGCAAGUGACACGCUGGCAUGCAUCAACUGAUGCAUCUUGUGUAAAACUAAGGAAAUGAAACUCCUGCUGUACUCAGUACUGGUGAGACUGCAGCUGGAGUAUGGCAUCCAGUUCUGGGCUCUGCACUGCAAUAAAGAUGUGGAAAAGCUUGAGAGG
RNAcentral lists this long non-coding RNA (2347 nucleotides) under Crocodylus porosus (Australian saltwater crocodile). RNAcentral's name for it is "lncRNA (ENSCPRG00005009628.1)". The record is from RNAcentral. Lineage: Eukaryota; Metazoa; Chordata; Crocodylia; Crocodylidae.